This 73-nucleotide transfer RNA is filed under the name Dictyocaulus viviparus (bovine lungworm). It matches the Rfam family "tRNA". From Rfam's summary of the family: Transfer RNA (tRNA) molecules are approximately 80 nucleotides in length. Their secondary structure includes four short double-helical elements and three loops (D, anti-codon, and T loops). Lineage: Eukaryota; Metazoa; Nematoda; Chromadorea; Rhabditida; Metastrongylidae. The record is from Rfam by way of RNAcentral.
GCAUCGGUAGUGCAAUAGAUAAGCACGGCAGGCCGGAUAUCUGUAGAUGUGGGUUCAAGUCCCGCCUAAGGUU